AAUUCAGUGAAUCAUCGAAUCUUUGAACGCACAUUGCACUCUCUGGUAUUCCGGAGAGUAUGCUUGUUUGAGUAUCUGUAAACAUCUCAAAUCUCUACUUUAUUGUAAAGAAUUGGACUUGAGCAAUCCCAACUCCUUCGUCAGAAAGAGAAGGGUUGCUUGAAAUGCAGGUGCAGCUGGACAUUCUUCUGAGCUAAAAGCAUAUUUAUUUAGUCCCGUCAAACGGAUUAUUAUUCUUGCUUCAGCUUAUAUAAAGGUUGAAUGACUACCAAGGCUGAUUGCAGGUAAACUCGUUCCGUAAAAAAGAACUUGUAAACUCGAUCUCAAAUCAAGUAAGACUACCCGCUGAACUUAA
RNAcentral lists this small RNA (355 nucleotides) under uncultured fungus. Its description in RNAcentral is "eukaryotic LSU rRNA". The stretch from base 1 to 77 matches the Rfam family "5.8S ribosomal RNA", at positions 78 to 154 of the family's 154-position model. Lineage: Eukaryota; Fungi. The record is from RNAcentral.